GAUGAACGCUGGCGGCGUGCUUAACACAUGCAAGUCGAACGGAAAGGCCCUGCUUGCAGGGUACUCGAGUGGCGAACGGGUGAGUAACACGUGGGUGAUCUGCCCUGUACUUUGGGAUGAGCCUGGGAAACUGGGUCUAAUACCGAAUAUGACAAUUGUUUGGAUGCGAUUGUGGAAAGCUUUUGCGGUAUGGGAUGAGCUCGCGGCCUAUCAGCUUGUUGGUGGGGUAAUGGCCUACCAAGGCGUCGACGGGUAGCCGGCCUGAGAGGGUGUACGGCCACAUUGGGACUGAGAUACGGCCCAGACUCCUACGGGAGGCAGCAGUGGGGAAUAUUGCACAAUGGGCGCAAGCCUGAUGCAGCGACGCCGCGUGGGGGAUGACGGCCUUCGGGUUGUAAACUCCUUUCGCAACCGACGAAGCCUUUUGGUGACGGUAGGUUGAGAAGAAGCACCGGCUAACUACGUG
RNAcentral lists this ribosomal RNA (466 nucleotides) under uncultured bacterium. Its description in RNAcentral is "partial 16S ribosomal RNA". It matches the Rfam family "Bacterial small subunit ribosomal RNA", at positions 28 to 507 of the family's 1533-position model. The record is from RNAcentral.